CAGUGGCCCCCAGCUGAGCCCAGGCUGCCCAGGGGAGGGGAGGGAGGGAGGGAGGGAGGGAGGGAG
RNAcentral lists this microRNA precursor (66 nucleotides) under Tursiops truncatus (common bottlenose dolphin). Its description in RNAcentral is "miRNA (ENSTTRG00000025214.1)". The record is from RNAcentral. Lineage: Eukaryota; Metazoa; Chordata; Mammalia; Artiodactyla; Delphinidae.